Molecule: ribosomal RNA, 816 nt
Filed under: uncultured bacterium
Lineage: Bacteria
Description: bacterial SSU rRNA
Rfam family: Bacterial small subunit ribosomal RNA
Source: RNAcentral
CAAGUCGAACGGGAAUCUUCGGAUUCUAGUGGCGGACGGGUGAGUAACGCGUAAGAAUCUAACUUCAGGACGGGGACAACAGUUGGAAACGACUGCUAAUACCCGAUAUGCCGCGAGGUGAAACCUAAUUGGCCUGAAGAAGAGCUUGCGUCUGAUUAGCUAGUUGGUGGGGUAAGAGCCUACCAAGGCGACGAUCAGUAGCUGGUCUGAGAGGAUGAGCAGCCACACUGGGACUGAGACACGGCCCAGACUCCUACGGGAGGCAGCAGUGGGGAAUUUUCCGCAAUGGGCGAAAGCCUGACGGAGCAACGCCGCGUGAGGGAGGAAGGUCUUUGGAUUGUAAACCUCUUUUCUCAAGGAAGAAGUUCUGACGGUACUUGAGGAAUCAGCCUCGGCUAACUCCGUGCCAGCAGCCGCGGUAAUACGGGGGAGGCAAGCGUUAUCCGGAAUUAUUGGGCGUAAAGCGUCCGCAGGUGGUCAGCCAAGUCUGCUGUCAAAUCAGGUUGCUUAACGACCUAAAGGCGGUGGAAACUGGCAGACUAGAGAGCAGUAGGGGUAGCAGGAAUUCCCAGUGUAGCGGUGAAAUGCGUAGAGAUUGGGAAGAACAUCGGUGGCGAAAGCGUGCUACUGGGCUGUAUCUGACACUCAGGGACGAAAGCUAGGGGAGCGAAAGGGAUUAGAUACCCCUGUAGUCCUAGCCGUAAACGAUGGAUACUAGGCGUGGCUUGUAUCGACCCGAGCCGUGCCGAAGCUAACGCGUUAAGUAUCCCGCCUGGGGAGUAUGCACGCAAGUGUGAAACUCAAAGGAAUUGACGG